GCCAAGGGCCAAGUGUGAGCUCCAGUCUGGAGCAGAAGGGCCCUUCCCUCCCCCUCUGGAAACCAGGAGAGAGGGGUGUGCAUGGAGACACCCUGGACAGUCCUGCAAACCCAGCAAGCCCUGCUCCAUGUCAGUGGCACCAGCACAUCACUGUGAGCCAGCCCUGAUGCUGAAGGCAUCUCCUGACACAGGUGCUGAGCCUCCCCUGGGGCAGCAGGAACAUCCCAGAGCCCGUGUGUGCAGCAGCAGCAGCAGCCAGGAGGCAGCUCCUGUGAUCCCCAAGGCAGUAGUUUAGCACUCUGCAGCUCCCCACUGGCAUGAAGAGACACUUACAGCUGUUUUCCCCCCUGAUGCCAGCACUCUGUGGAGCUAAUGGGGGGCUCCCCAGGCCUGAUGAAGUGCACAGCCAGAGGACUUGCCAUAUGCCUGGGGAAUUUCACCUCUCUUCAGACUCUAUUCAGCCCCAGCUCCCAAGGUGAAAUCCCAUUUAGGUCGGUACAUUUUGGCACUACUAAUCACAGUGAUGUGGUGAAUGCUUCCUGUUCUUAUUGCUGGGCUGGUGUCUGUUGUGUGCAACCAGGCAUGUGCUGCCUUCACCCCUGCCGUGGUGACCCCAUUGCAGCAGGGAAAGGAAAUUGAGAUCUAAAUGGGGAAAACUUUGCUGCAAAUAAAAAUAAAUGAAAGCACAAGAAAAAACCAAGGACUUUGUGCUGAUUUUCUCUGCUGCUGCUCUCACAGAACAAUGAGGAGUAUAAUGUAAGAUUUUCCAACCUCUAACUAUCUAUCAGCACAACAAAUUUCACUAUUCUUCAUGUUUCUUUAUUCUUAAAUAACUCCUUGUGUAUUUACAGAGCUGUUUCUCUGGUGCAGUUUUGGUAGAUUGCAUUGGAGAAAACUGUUUUAAUGUGGGGCCAAGGGAAGUCUCCCACCUUAUGAUGUGUUGGCCUGUGUUGGAGAGUGAAUGUCCCCAGACCUCAUCCUCCCCUGGCUCCAUGUGCUGCUCCCAGAAAGCCAGGACUGGAUAUUCCAUAGAAUCAGGGACUGGGUAUUUUAUAGAAAACAGGAGCUGGGUAUAGUAUAGAAUCUGGGACUGGGUAUUUUUUAGAAUCAGGUUCUGGGUAUUUUAUAGAAUUGGGAGCUGAGUAUUUUAUAAAAUCAGAGGUUGGGUAUUGUAUAGAAUCAGAGGCUGGGUAUUGUAUAGAAAUCUGGGAGUGAAUGU
Oenanthe melanoleuca is the source of this 1219-nucleotide long non-coding RNA. RefSeq lists it as uncharacterized. The transcript is spliced from 3 exons. Lineage: Eukaryota; Metazoa; Chordata; Aves; Passeriformes; Muscicapidae. The record is from RefSeq and is a predicted model, not a curated record.